AUGAACGCUGGCGGCGUGCUUAACACAUGCAAGUCGAACGAUUAAAGCUCACUUCGGUGAGUGUAUAGAGUGGCGAACGGGUGAGUAACACGUGGGAAACCUGCCCCUCUCUUCGGGAUAACUUCGGGAAACCGUUGCUAAUACCGGAUACUCCGGGAUGGUCGCAUGGCCGACCCGGGAAAGCUUUAUGUGGAAAGGGAUGGUCCCGCGGCCCAUUAGCUUGUUGGUGGGGUAAUGGCCUACCAAGGCGAUGAUGGGUAGCCG
RNAcentral lists this ribosomal RNA (264 nucleotides) under uncultured bacterium. RNAcentral describes it as "partial 16S ribosomal RNA". It matches the Rfam family "Bacterial small subunit ribosomal RNA", at positions 29 to 289 of the family's 1533-position model. The record is from RNAcentral.